Hippoglossus stenolepis (Pacific halibut) is the source of this 3749-nucleotide long non-coding RNA. RefSeq lists it as uncharacterized. NCBI's taxonomy places the organism in Eukaryota, Metazoa, Chordata, Actinopteri, Pleuronectiformes, Pleuronectidae. The record is from RefSeq and is a predicted model, not a curated record. The transcript has 2 exons.
CCUCAGAUUGACAGGUCUCAGGCUCAAUCCCGCUCAGGCUCGUAGUAGCGGAGCCAAGAUGGCGUAGGGCGGAGGGGACGAGGAGCAGGGGACGAGGGGACCUUCUCCUCUCCUCUCCGGUGGCAUGGAGCGGAGGGGAGCGCGUCCGGAGGUCUGCGGGCUAUUCUCCGGACGUGUCCCCGGCCGGUGCGGCUCCUCGUCCCGGAGGUUUCCCGGUAAUCAGCGCUGAAUGUGUCGGUGACCCCCCACCCCCAUCUGUUUACCAUUGUGUGCAGCUGCAGCUCGAACCUCAAACAUCUGCAGCGUCUCAGAGAAGAACUCGGUCCAAGAUGAUGCAGAUGAGAAACCAGCUGAAGCCAGGACUGCAGGAACCUCCAGACCUUCAGAUCCGCCCUGGCACCACUGACAGACGACUCCCACCACUGACAGACGACUCCCACCACUGACAGACGACUCCCACCACUGACAGACGACUCCCACCACUGACAGAUGACUCCCACCACUGACAGACGACUCCCACCACCACAGAGAUCAGUGGAGGUAAAGAAAGAAGCAUCACUGACCCGAUGACCUCUUUUGGGAUUUUGGGACACUGGUGCUGUCCUUCCCGCUGUAGCUGGGACAUCGGUCCUUCCUCCUCCACGGCAUCCGCUUUCGUCCUGGCCUGCUUCUGCAGAGUGAUCAUCAACGGGGACAUCUUUCAAGACUGACUUCCAUCUCACACACUGUGACUACGUCUACAUGUAACCUGGAGUUUCUACACUGGCUGUAUCUGUCUGAAAGUCUCCAUGAUAUGGGGAUUUUCAGUCAGAUUUGAUUUCAGGUCACAUGUGAACAUAGUCACUAAGUUUUUACAGUAAAAUCCCACUGUUAUAGGACAAGAGCCGGUUGAUGAUGAACAAAUCAGCUGCUCCUCUAUUCUGCAAAGAAGGUAAAGACACGAGAUACUGUAGCAAAGAUCAAGGCCUGUGAUUAAAUCCAACUCACGGGGAGUUCCUCUGUAGUUUUUUGCACUACCUCAGUGCCGUAACAAGUCCAACAGGAGUGAGAGACGGGUGGGAUCAGUACCUGAAGCUCAAUGGUUGUCAAGUACCACAGCAGUUUUAAAUAUUGUUCCCGGAUGAGUCUGGUUUUAGUGGUAGAGGAUCAACACGUGAGGCCGUCGACUGGUGAACAGGAGCAAAACAACCCAAGCACAUUUACUUUAGUUUCAGCCAUUUUGAGUAACGCCCUCAAACUGUGGUCUCCUAUGCAUCUGUUCUGAAGGAAGGUCACAAGGUCGUCUUUUCACCCCAUGCUCUCAUUUUUGCAUUUUGGGUUUAUUUAGUUUCUCUUUAGUCAAGUCUGCAGGUUUAUUCACAAAUUGCAGGUAGAGACUCAAUUAGUGACACUGACCUUGUGACUUGAGAUCCCAAAAAUAUGGAAACUUAUAGUUUAGAAUGUGUCUUUUAUCGCAAAAGUCUCAUCCAGUUUUCUCUCUCUGUCCUUUCCCCCUUAAAAAAAACGUUGAAUUUCUCUGCUUAUGUUCUCAUUUGAUCAUUUUCCUAUUCAUGGUCUACUAAGAGAUCUAUGUACCCAUCGUGUUUAAAUUCUGCCGGUAGGGACAGAAUUGAUCCUUUGAUUCCUUUCAUUCCAUCAAUCAUGAGACACAAUAUUAAGUGAAAACAGCUUUUCGAUGUGUCCAGUAGGUCGAGAGACACCAGUGCUGAAGUAGCACCUUGCAUUGGUUCUUACAUGAAGGAAACCCUGGCCCCAUUUUUUUCUUUCUUUUCACAUUUUUGUGAAAGAUUUACUUUUAAAAAUCAAAUUUUCCGGGAUUUGUGCAAUAUUUGAUCCUAACUGUCAUGUUGUUGACCAAACUGUAUAUUGUAUAAACAAGUGACAAGUUGUUUGAAAGCAACAAAAUCACCAAUGUCUUCCAUUAAGAUAUGUAUAGACUCAUGUGCAUUAACUAGCCUAUUUAGCGGGACUGUGGUGCCACAUUAUUGUAGCCAUGCAUGACCAGUAGUGAUGCUUGCUUUAUGACGAGUAGUGAAAUCAGUUUUCUAGACUAAAGUGAAGCUCAAAACUAUGGAAACCAUUUCAGUCAAAUUAAAGGGUUGUAGACUGACGUUCUAAAUCUGGAAAGACACCACGUCGAGAUGCAGCUUUGCCUGAAAACAAAUGCAAAACCAACUCUUUGUUCCAUCGAGAUAUGCAGUUAUAAAGUGUUGAUUCAAGUCGUCUCACAUAGGCGUAUGUGCCCAAUAUAAGUUAGUGUUGUUUUACUGUUAUUAGGACUUUUAUCUUUUAAAAAAAGCUUUAGAGAUAUUCUAACAUAUUCUCAUGCAUCAAUAGAAUUAGUUAAUUUUUGAAUAACAACCAUAAAGUUCCCAUGAAACGAGUCUCAGACGUGACAAUGACAGAAUACCUUAAAAAAAGAAGUGAGUAUUACGUUCCUCCUGGAUUAGGAUCUAAUUUGCAGGUGGUGUUUCAGUCCUAGAAUUAAGAUCUCACCAUGACAUCGCAUUGUACAUAACACCUCAUAGUUUUGGGAUUCAAAGUGUUAUAAUUCAAUCCAUAAAAUUGUAUUUGAUUAGAGUUUUAGAAGCAAUAACCUACAAUAAUGCAUGAGUUCAGUGCCAGGGUGUAAGUGUGUUAAAAGGAUUCCGUGCCGUCCCGUGGAAAGGACCACCACCACCUCUUUGCGCUUAAUGUAGCCGUCUAUCUAUUGGUCACUUUUCUGGCGAGUCGUUAAGCUUUAGAAAACAGUAUCUCUUCUUACGGUUUGGGAUACUUCCUGCAGAACUACGUGCAUGUGAGGACUGCUGUAGCAUAACAGUAUUUACAAGUUUACUUAAACACUUAUAUUUUUCAGAGACUAUUUUCCCUGCCUUGUAUUUUUUCAACACAAAAACACAAUAAUCUAAACCAACAUGAGAGACGCUUUAAAUGAUAAUUCUUCUUGUAGCAUUUUACAUCCACAAAACCCCCGUUCCUUUAAAAAUCCAGACAUUCAGUAACUCUGUAGCUGUGAAGUAAGUUUACUGAACCAACUUGACUUGACUUGCUUGAAAGGCACUUUCUCUCUCUGUGCUGACUUGCACCAUCAUCCUCACCGUCCUGUCUUGAAAACUGUAAACUAAAAACCCUGUCAUGCUCUUUGUGGGGAUUUAUAAUCGCAAUUUAUAAGCAAGUAGGCGUCUAGCGACUUGAAUAUAUGGGUUCAAAAAAUAUGCAUGACUAAGCAGAAUAAAGAAUGAUUUGUAUUGCAUGCAAUAAUCCAACUUUGUAAUGUGAAUGGGUGUAACUAGGAUGUUGAAAUGUUCAUGUCAGGUGUUCUGUGACAAGGGGACGACGGGUGUUUGAUUCUACAUGAGGAACGUUGAGGUAGUUUUGAUCACCGGUCGUGGUUUUCACAGACUGCGCUGCACCAAACAGAAACAAUGGAGUGUUUCAAGUGUUUCUGCUCUCUCUCUCUCUGCGGAGUCAAACGUGACCAUGGCAGCGAUGCCACAGUGCAGCUCAACAACCCCGAUCAACCUUUGUUCCCAUGAAAAAAACACAUAUAAGCCUGGGUAAGAUUAAUGAUGUUACUUUGUUUGAUCAACUUUUCCACCGAGGGGGUGGACUGUGUAGAAACUAUGCACUUCAGACGGAGGAAGUGGGCAUGCUUAUUAUGUGUAAGCCUCUUGUCUGGUUUUGUAUUAACAAAAAAAAAAAAAGAAUCUGUAUCAGAAAUUCAGCAAUAAAAUGCAGCAUGGUGCCAA